Molecule: ribosomal RNA, 489 nt
Filed under: uncultured bacterium
Lineage: Bacteria
Description: bacterial SSU rRNA
Rfam family: Bacterial small subunit ribosomal RNA
Source: RNAcentral
GAUGAACGCUAGCGGCAGGCUUAAUACAUGCAAGUCAAGGGGGUAGCAAUACAACCGGCGCACGGGUGAGUAACGCGUACACAACAUACCAUAUACUGGAGUAUAGCUUUGGGAAACUGAAGGUAAUCCUCCAUAACAUUGCGAGAGGGCAUCUGAUUGCAAUUAAAGUUUCGGCGGUAUAUGAUUGGUGUGCGUUUGAUUAGCUAGUUGGUAGGGUAACGGCCUACCAAGGCGACGAUCAAUAGCUGGCGUGAGAGCGCGACCAGCCACACUGGAACUGAGACACGGUCCAGACUCCUACGGGAGGCAGCAGUAGGGAAUAUUGGACAAUGGAGGAAACUCUGAUCCAGCCAUGCCGCGUGAUAGAUGAAGGCCCUCUGGGUUGUAAACUUCUUUUGUAUGGGAAGAAAAUUCCGAACGUGUUCGGAGCUGACGGUACCAUAAGAAUAAGCAUCGGCUAAUUCCGUGCCAGCAGCCGCGGUAAAGUAG